ACGGCGUGCCUUUUGCAUAAUGACCCGGCGAGUUACUCUGUCUAGCAAGGUUAAGGGUCUCAGGCCCGAAGCCGAAGGGAAACCGAGUGUGAAUAGCGCGACUUAAGUCGAGCGGAGUAGACCCGAAAGCGAGUGAUCUAUCCAUGGGCAGGCUGAAGCGGAUGUAACAGUCCGUGGAGGGCCGAACGGGUAUAGGUUGAAAACUGUUCCGAUGACCUGUGGAUUGGAGUGAAAGGCUAAUCAAACUCGCAGAUAGCUGGUUCUCCCCGAAAUAGCUUUCGGGCUAGCCUCUGGUGAUAGUUAGCGGGGGUAGAGCUACUGAUUGGGAUAGGGGCCCUUCGGGGUACCCUACUCAACCAAACUCCGAAUACCGCUAACCGUAUCCAGGGAGUCAGUCUAUGGGCGAUAAGGUCCGUGGACGAGAGGGAAACAACCCAGACCACCGGCUAAGGUCCCGAAUGGGUGCUAAGUGUAGCAAAGGAAGUGAAGUCUCUAAGACAGCCAGGAUGUUGGCUUAGAAGCAGCCAUCAUUUAAAGAGUGCGUAACAGCUCACUGGUCGAGAGGCUUUGCGCCGAAAAUGAACGGGACUCAAGCACCCAACCGAAGCCGUGGCUUGUACGAGAACGUGUUCUCGUGCAGGGGUAGGGGAGCGUUCCAAGCGAGUGAAGGGCGACGGUAACGACGCCUGGACGCUAUGGAAGUGAUUAUGCCGGAAUAAGUAGCGAUAAAGCAGGUGAGAAUCCUGCUCGCCGUAAACCCAAGGUUUCCUGGGCACGGUAAAUCCGCCCAGGGUUAGUCGGAUCCUAAGGCGAGGCCGAAAGGCGUA
RNAcentral lists this ribosomal RNA (827 nucleotides) under Symbiodinium sp. clade D. RNAcentral describes it as "partial Bacterial large subunit ribosomal RNA". It matches the Rfam family "Bacterial large subunit ribosomal RNA", at positions 596 to 1413 of the family's 2925-position model. Lineage: Eukaryota; Dinophyceae; Suessiales; Symbiodiniaceae. The record is from RNAcentral.